Solanum dulcamara is the source of this 1709-nucleotide RNA transcript. It is a transcript of the gene named nudix hydrolase 8-like, with no coding region annotated. The transcript has 8 exons. NCBI's taxonomy places the organism in Eukaryota, Viridiplantae, Streptophyta, Magnoliopsida, Solanales, Solanaceae. The record is from RefSeq and is a predicted model, not a curated record.
AUUUUUGAAGAACCCGAAUAACAUAAAUUUUCUGAAAGUUGAAGUGAAGAGGAGUGUUUGGUUUUGAAGGAACAAAGCAGUAGCUGCGUUCGGAUAAAUGGAUUUCAUGUUUGCCUUUCAUACUUAGGGAACUAUAAGGAUGGAGAAGUUUCUUAGUACUCAAUUUCCUUCCACUUUUAUCAUGUACUAAUCAAAAUGUGUUUCUUAUUUAAUCUUAGGAACCAAAUUUUUUAGACGUUAUGGUCACACAACAACAAGGCGUGAGAAUUCAAGUCUUACGCCAUCCAUUAACAGAAUAUUUCUAUGUCUUAGCCGCGAAAACGUAUCAUGCCUGCAGUUAAGCAUACUGUUGGCAAAUAAGUGUUUUUCAUUACCAUUUCCAGUCAUUUUGUUUCGUUUUAGACUAGCUUAUGUUUGCGUACUCACGUAAGUCUGGCCUUGUCAAAACAUACUUGUUUGAGGCGUUAUUGUUAUUUGUCGCCUUUUGAUUUUUUUAGCAAGGAAACAUCAACUCGAAGUAGAACAAUUGACGAUGAGGCAAUACAAAAUGCAUCAUUAGCUUGUCACCGUUUCUAUUCCAGUCACUAAGAAGAAUGUUAUCUAUCAAUCUAUGUGUUACUAGAUAACAUUUGUAUUCUGGCAUGAAGUUCGGAAUUUUGUAAAUUUCUGUUUUACCUUCAGGGCUUUUAAUGAAGGCUUCUUAUUCAAGCACUUCUUAUGAUGCUACAAAAUCAGUCAGCAAGAAGAAUUUGUUAUUGGACAUUUUCUCUUAUCAGAUAAAUGGUACAAACCAUACAAGUUUGUAUUUUAUAGAUAAAUGGGUACUUGAUGCCUCCGACGAUGAAUAUGGAGGAGUACUCGUCAACCCAGAAAGACUACCAUCUGAUCCCGACAAAUUUACCUUUGUUCUUCGUGCAUCUCUCUCUCAUUGGAAAGUGACGGGGAAGAAGGGAGUUUGGCUUAAGCUACCACAGGAAAAAUGUGAUCUAGUUCCUGUUGCAAUAAAGGAAGGAUUUCAAUACCAUCAUGCAGAAAGAGGAUAUGUCAUGAUGACUUAUUGGAUUCCGGAGGAACCCUGUCUGCUUCCUUCUAAUGCAUCAUCAAGUUGGAGUUGGGGUUUUUGUGAUCAACGACGAAAAUGAGGUGCUAGUCGUGCAAGAGAAACAUUUUGCACCAGCUCUUUCAGGUCUAUGGAAAAUACCAACUGGUUUCAUUCAUGAGUCCGAGGAAAUCUUUACAGGAGUUGUGAGAGAAGUGAAGGAGGAAACUGGGAUUGAUACUGAAUUUGUGGAGGUUAUGGCUUUCAGGCAUGCUCACAAUGUGGCCUUUGAAAAGUCAGAUUUGUUCUUCGUCUGCCUGUUAAGACCCCUGUCAAAACAAAUCAUGGUUGAUGAUCUUGAAAUUCAGGCUGCUAAGUGGAUGCCUCUAGUUGAGUUUGUGGAACAACCCUUAAUCCAAGGAGAUGACAUGUUCAAGAAAAUAAUCGACAUUUUCAUCGCUAGACUAGGAAAGUGGUACUGCGGAUUGUCUGUCCAUCAACUGGUUUCCAAAUUUGAUGACAAACUUUCAACACUAUACUUCAACACAGUUGAUGAUCCAGAUUUGAACUGUCAAGCCAGUUAGCAUCACAAUCAGUCUAUGCCAUCAAAUGUAACCUAGAGGGUAUGGACUCUGUAAAUGUAAGAUUUAAUUUCCAAAAAGCUUUUCAU